Long non-coding RNA from Triticum aestivum (bread wheat), 452 nucleotides. RefSeq lists it as uncharacterized. The transcript has 3 exons. Lineage: Eukaryota; Viridiplantae; Streptophyta; Magnoliopsida; Poales; Poaceae. The record is from RefSeq and is a predicted model, not a curated record.
UGCGGCCUCUGCUCCCUUAACUUCUGGAGACUAGGGGCACGGUGGCUGGUGCCCCAUCUCUCUUAGCCAUCCACAGCGGCAACAACAUCAGGUCAAACAAACUUUCAUAGGUUUGGUGGAUGUUUGGGCAAUUACUCAACUACUAACAAAAGGCCACUGGAUGAUUUUUAUACCUGCAUCACAUCAAGUGGAUUUGGAUAGCACACAAGCUGGCAUGGUCUUCAUCGUGGAUUCAAUCUCCACACGAGUGGAGUGGCCUCUGCCUUGUGCGGCAGCUGCGGACGGGCAGAGGAGACGACGACGUAGGGCACACGGAGCCAGCAACCCUAGAAGCCAUGAUGCCCGCGAACAAAAUUACCUAAAGGAUAGGAAACAGACUACCUGAUCUCACGGAUGCAUGUAGUCUUUUUUUUCUGAUGCGUACAACAAGCGAUCAGGGCAUCAAGGGAUGC